CGGCAGCACGGACUUCGGUCUGGUGGCGAGUGGCGAACGGGUGAGUAAUAUAUCGGAACGUGCCCAGUCGUGGGGGAUAACGUAGCGAAAGUUACGCUAAUACCGCAUACGAUCUAUGGAUGAAAGCGGGGGAUCGCAAGACCUCGCGCGAUUGGAGCGGCCGAUAUCAGAUUAGGUAGUUGGUGGGGUAAAGGCUCACCAAGCCAACGAUCUGUAGCUGGUCUGAGAGGACGACCAGCCACACUGGAACUGAGACACGGUCCAGACUCCUACGGGAGGCAGCAGUGGGGAAUUUUGGACAAUGGACGCAAGUCUGAUCCAGCCAUUCCGCGUGCAGGAUGAAGGCCCUCGGGUUGUAAACUGCUUUUGUACGGAACGAAAAGGUCUCUCUUAAUACGAGGGGCUCAUGACGGUACCGUAAGAAUAAGCACCGGCUAACUACGUGCCAGCAGCCGCGGUAAUACGUAGGGUGCAAGCGUUAAUCGGAAUUACUGGGCGUAAAGCGUGCGCAGGCGGUUAUAUAAGACAGAUGUGAAAUCCCCGGGCUCAACCUGGGAACUGCAUUUGUGACUGUAUAGCUAGAGUACGGUAGAGGGGGAUGGAAUUCCGCGUGUAGCAGUGAAAUGCGUAGAUAUGCGGAGGAACACCGAUGGCGAAGGCAAUCCCCUGGACCUGUACUGACGCUCAUGCACGAAAGCGUGGGGAGCAAACAGGAUUAGAUACCCUGGUAGUCCACGCCCUAAACGAUGUCAACUGGUUGUUGGGUCUUCACUGACUCAG
Molecule: ribosomal RNA, 780 nt
Filed under: uncultured beta proteobacterium
Lineage: Bacteria; Pseudomonadati; Pseudomonadota; Betaproteobacteria
Description: bacterial SSU rRNA
Rfam family: Bacterial small subunit ribosomal RNA
Source: RNAcentral